GGGAUAGUAAGUUUAACUGGUAAAACAGGGCGAGGUAUGGGCGUUCACUUGCGGGUUCGACUCCCGUCUAUCCCA
RNAcentral lists this transfer RNA (75 nucleotides) under Caudoviricetes sp. RNAcentral describes it as "tRNA-OTHER". It matches the Rfam family "tRNA". From Rfam's summary of the family: Transfer RNA (tRNA) molecules are approximately 80 nucleotides in length. Their secondary structure includes four short double-helical elements and three loops (D, anti-codon, and T loops). The record is from RNAcentral. Lineage: Duplodnaviria; Heunggongvirae; Uroviricota; Caudoviricetes.